Oncorhynchus masou masou (cherry salmon) is the source of this 467-nucleotide long non-coding RNA. RefSeq lists it as uncharacterized. NCBI's taxonomy places the organism in Eukaryota, Metazoa, Chordata, Actinopteri, Salmoniformes, Salmonidae. The record is from RefSeq and is a predicted model, not a curated record. The transcript is spliced from 4 exons.
UCCUCCCUCUGUCUGUCUCUGGGUUGGUGGCUGGUCUCUCCAUCUCUCUGAUCAUUCUACUGGUCCUGUUCUGCAAGAGGAACAAAGAUGUAGCAGCUGAACCCAGAGAUGUUACGUAUGCUGACGUUAGAAUCAUACAGGAACCAGAACCCAGGAGAAGGAGAGAGAAGUCUCCAGGAGCUGAUCCAGUCUACUCUGCAGUGAAGACCUCCAACACCACAGUUCCAGGUGGAUCCGGUCCAGGUGAUGUGACCUAUGCUGACAUCAACCACACUGAUAAGAGACAACACAACAGGAGGAGAGAGAAGGUCGUUCCAGACCCUGUCUACUCAGCAGUGAAGACAGACAGAGAUUCAGGUCAGAAGGUUGUUCCAGACCCUGUCUACUCAGCAGUGAAGACAGACAGAGAGACAGGUCAGAAGGUCGCUCCAGACCCUGUCUACUCGGCAGUGAAGACAGACAGACAG